Molecule: ribosomal RNA, 283 nt
Filed under: uncultured bacterium
Lineage: Bacteria
Description: partial 16S ribosomal RNA
Rfam family: Bacterial small subunit ribosomal RNA
Source: RNAcentral
GACGAACGCUGGCGGCGUGCUUAACACAUGCAAGUCGAGCGGUAAGGCCCUUCGGGGUACGACGAGCGGCGAACGGGUGAGUAACACGUGGGUGACCUGCCCUCAGCUCUGGGAGUAAGCCCUGGGAAACGUAGGGUCGUAAUAACUGGAUAUGACUCCACGGUGCAUGUCGUGGGGUGGAAAGCCUUGUGCGGCUGAGGAUGGGCCCGCGGCCUAUCAGCUUGUUGGUGGGGUGAUGGCCUACCAAGGCGACGACGGGUAGCCGGCCUGAGAGGGCGACCGG